UACAGAGGUGGCAAGCGUUAUUCGGAAUUAUUGGGCGUAAAGGGCGCGUAGGCGGCUUUGCAAGUGACGGGUGAAAUCCCUCGGCUUAACCGAGGAACUGCCUGUCAGACUGCAUGGCUUGAGACCAGGAGAGGUGAGUGGAAUUCCCAGUGUAGCGGUGAAAUGCGUAGAUAUUGGGAGGAACACCAGUGGCGAAGGCGGCUCACUGGACUGGUACUGACGCUGAGGCGCGAAAGCGUGGGGAGCAAACAGG
RNAcentral lists this ribosomal RNA (253 nucleotides) under uncultured bacterium. RNAcentral's name for it is "partial 16S ribosomal RNA". It matches the Rfam family "Bacterial small subunit ribosomal RNA", at positions 524 to 776 of the family's 1533-position model. The record is from RNAcentral.